Molecule: small RNA, 661 nt
Filed under: Arabidopsis thaliana (thale cress)
Lineage: Eukaryota; Viridiplantae; Streptophyta; Magnoliopsida; Brassicales; Brassicaceae
Description: ATSL233550
Source: RNAcentral
AAUUUACGUGUAAAAAUGUUAGGAUUUUAUGUUACUACUAGAUUUUAACCCGCGGUAUACCGCGGAGAUAAUUUAUUUUUUAAAGUUACUAUAUAUAAUAGUUUGCAAAUUAUAUUUAUUUAUAAAAUAUUUUUGUUUUAUAGUUUACGAUUGUUAUUAAGUAACGUCCUGUCAAACCCGUCCCGCCAAUCCGUCCCGUAAAAAAAACUCACUGAUUUUAUUUAUGAUAUGUUUAUGAAUCAUUGUCUAAAUAUUUUUUAAUUUUGUAGUAAUUAAAUGCUAUCAAAUAUCUCUGCGGUUUGAUGAUUAUAAUCGAAUUAUUAUAGUCAUGUAGAAAAACAAUAUCAAAAAUGAUAAUUUUGUAGUAAUUAAAUGAUAUUAAAUAUUUUGGAAGUUUUAUUUUAAUAACUAAUCGUGUAGUUAAUGUGGAGAGAUUUUGGGAAGAUUGUCAAAUAUUUAAUUCAAAGAUUUUCUUUCUAAUUAUCAAAAACAAUUAUUAAAUGUCAGUAGCAGCCACUGUAAAUAAAUCUCAACUCCAAGAUUUAUUUUACAAAGUGGCUGCAAAAAUGUAUAUAUAGAUAUCUAUAUAUCAAUAUUUAGUUAUAUACGUACUUUGACUAGAUGUCUACAAUUUUCAUCAAUACGAAUGGCCAGUUAAAGU